AGUUGAAGACAGUGUCAACACCAUGGGGUUAUUGUAUGAGAUUAGAGGCAAAUCAUAGUCAGUAACCACCUGGUUCCAUUUGAUCAUCCAGUCGUAGUUACCAAAGACUCUAUCUAGCCUGUUGCAUACUCUGUCCACACCAGUUUGUUUGUUUGUCCAUGUGUAGUAUUCCCCCCUCCAAGGCAAUUCAGUCAGUCCA
RNAcentral lists this long non-coding RNA (199 nucleotides) under Nicotiana benthamiana. RNAcentral describes it as "long non-coding RNA (NBEN_LNC034120)". The record is from RNAcentral. Lineage: Eukaryota; Viridiplantae; Streptophyta; Magnoliopsida; Solanales; Solanaceae.